This 315-nucleotide ribosomal RNA is filed under the name uncultured Clostridia bacterium. RNAcentral describes it as "bacterial SSU rRNA". It matches the Rfam family "Bacterial small subunit ribosomal RNA", at positions 28 to 339 of the family's 1533-position model. Lineage: Bacteria; Bacillati; Bacillota; Clostridia. The record is from RNAcentral.
GAUGAACGCUGGCGGCGUGCCUAACACAUGCAAGUCGAGCGAAGAAUUGAGAGCUUGCUCUUAAUUACUUAGCGGCGGACGGGUGAGUAACGCGUGGGUAACCUGCCCUGUACAGGGGAAUAACAGUUAGAAAUGACUGCUAAUGCCCCAUAAGCCGACGGAAUGGCAUCUUUUUGUCGGAAAAGAUUUAUCGGUACAGGAGGGACCCGCGUCUGAUUAGCUGGUUGGUGAGGUAACGGCCCACCAAGGCGACGAUCAGUAGCCGACCUGAGAGGGUGAUCGGCCACAUUGGAACUGAGACACGGUCCAAACUCC